GAUUAAGUUAUUAAGGGCGCACGGUGGAUGCCUUGGCACUAGAAGCCGAUGAAGGACGUUACUAACGACGAUAUGCUUUGGGGAGCUGUAAGUAAGCUUUGAUCCAGAGAUUUCCGAAUGGGGAAACCCAGCAUGAGUUAUGUCAUGUUAUCGAUAUGUGAAUACAUAGCAUAUCAGAAGGCACACCCGGAGAACUGAAACAUCUUAGUACCCGGAGGAAGAGAAAGAAAAUUCGAUUCCCUUAGUAGCGGCGAGCGAAACGGGAAGAGCCCAAACCAACAAGCUUGCUUGUUGGGGUUGUAGGACACUCUAUACGGAGUUACAAAGGACGACAUUAGACGAAUCAUCUGGAAAGAUGAAUCAAAGAAGGUAAUAAUCCUGUAGUCGAAAAUGUUGUCUCUCUUGAGUGGAUCCUGAGUACGACGGAGCACGUGAAAUUCCGUCGGAAUCUGGGAGGACCAUCUCCUAAGGCUAAAUACUCUCUAGUGACCGAUAGUGAACCAGUACCGUGAGGGAAAGGUGAAAAGCACCCCGGAAGGGGAGUGAAAUAGAACCUGAAACCGUGUGCUUACAAGUAGUCAGAGCCCGUUAAUGGGUGAUGGCGUGCCUUUUGUAGAAUGAACCGGCGAGUUACGAUUUGAUGCAAGGUUAAGCAGUAAAUGUGGAGCCGUAGCGAAAGCGAGUCUGAAUAGGGCGUUUAGUAUUUGGUCGUAGACCCGAAACCAGGUGAUCUACCCUUGGUCAGGUU
Molecule: ribosomal RNA, 748 nt
Filed under: Staphylococcus aureus
Lineage: Bacteria; Bacillati; Bacillota; Bacilli; Caryophanales; Staphylococcaceae
Description: partial 23S ribosomal RNA
Rfam family: Bacterial large subunit ribosomal RNA
Source: RNAcentral